Molecule: ribosomal RNA, 468 nt
Filed under: uncultured bacterium
Lineage: Bacteria
Description: bacterial SSU rRNA
Rfam family: Bacterial small subunit ribosomal RNA
Source: RNAcentral
UGGGGAAUAUUGGACAAUGGGCGCAAGCCUGAUCCAGCCAUGCCGCGUGCAGGAUGACGGUCCUAUGGAUUGUAAACUGCUUUUUGUACAGGAAGAAACAGUUCUACGUGUAGAACCUUGACGGUACUGUAAGAAUAAGGAUCGGCUAACUCCGUGCCAGCAGCCGCGGUAAUACGGAGGAUCCAAGCGUUAUCCGGAAUCAUUGGGUUUAAAGGGUCCGUAGGCGGUUAGAUAAGUCAGUGGUGAAAGCCCAUCGCUCAACGGUGGAACGGCCAUUGAUACUGUCUGACUUGAAUUAUUAGGAAGUAACUAGAAUAUGUAGUGUAGCGGUGAAAUGCUUAGAGAUUACAUGGAAUACCAAUUGCGAAGGCAGGUUACUACUAAUGGAUUGACGCUGAUGGACGAAAGCGUGGGUAGCGAACAGGAUUAGAUACCCUCGUAGUCCCUGAGCGGGCUGGCAAGGCGCAU